Molecule: non-coding RNA, 30 nt
Filed under: Mus musculus (house mouse)
Lineage: Eukaryota; Metazoa; Chordata; Mammalia; Rodentia; Muridae
Source: RNAcentral
UGUUGGGAUUGUUGGGUCUUCAUGCAUCCU